This 678-nucleotide ribosomal RNA is filed under the name Salmonella enterica subsp. enterica serovar Montevideo. RNAcentral describes it as "bacterial SSU rRNA". It matches the Rfam family "Bacterial small subunit ribosomal RNA", at positions 865 to 1533 of the family's 1533-position model. The record is from RNAcentral. Lineage: Bacteria; Pseudomonadati; Pseudomonadota; Gammaproteobacteria; Enterobacterales; Enterobacteriaceae.
UAGACCGCCUGGGGAGUACGGCCGCAAGGUUAAAACUCAAAUGAAUUGACGGGGGCCCGCACAAGCGGUGGAGCAUGUGGUUUAAUUCGAUGCAACGCGAAGAACCUUACCUGGUCUUGACAUCCACGGAAGAAUUCAGAGAUGGAUUUGUGCCUUCGGGAACCGUGAGACAGGUGCUGCAUGGCUGUCGUCAGCUCGUGUUGUGAAAUGUUGGGUUAAGUCCCGCAACGAGCGCAACCCUUAUCCUUUGUUGCCAGCGGUCCGGCCGGGAACUCAAAGGAGACUGCCAGUGAUAAACUGGAGGAAGGUGGGGAUGACGUCAAGUCAUCAUGGCCCUUACGACCAGGGCUACACACGUGCUACAAUGGCGCAUACAAAGAGAAGCGACCUCGCGAGAGCAAGCGGACCUCAUAAAGUGCGUCGUAGUCCGGAUUGGAGUCUGCAACUCGACUCCAUGAAGUCGGAAUCGCUAGUAAUCGUGGAUCAGAAUGCCACGGUGAAUACGUUCCCGGGCCUUGUACACACCGCCCGUCACACCAUGGGAGUGGGUUGCAAAAGAAGUAGGUAGCUUAACCUUCGGGAGGGCGCUUACCACUUUGUGAUUCAUGACUGGGGUGAAGUCGUAACAAGGUAACCGUAGGGGAACCUGCGGUUGGAUCACCUCCUUACCUUAAAGAA